This 390-nucleotide ribosomal RNA is filed under the name uncultured bacterium. RNAcentral describes it as "bacterial SSU rRNA". It matches the Rfam family "Bacterial small subunit ribosomal RNA", at positions 28 to 419 of the family's 1533-position model. The record is from RNAcentral.
GACGAACGCUGGCGGCGUGCUUAACACAUGCAAGUCGAGCGGUAAGGCCCUUUCGGGGGUACACGAGCGGCGAACGGGUGAGUAACACGUGGGUGACCUGCCCUCAGCUCUGGGAUAAGCCUGGGAAACUGGGUCUAAUACCGGAUAUGACUCCAUGACGCAUGUUGUGGGGUGGAAAGCCUUGUGCGGCUGAGGAUGGGCCCGCGGCCUGUCAGCUUGUUGGUGGGGNGAUGGCCUACCAAGGCGACGACGGGUAGCCGGCCUGAGAGGGCGACCGGCCACACUGGGACUGAGACACGGCCCAGACUCCUACGGGAGGCAGCAGUGGGGAAUCUUGCGCAAUGGGCGAAAGCCUGACGCAGCGACGCCGCGUGAGGGAUGACGGCCUGG